CUGACCUCGGAUCAGACGUGAAUACCCGCUGAACUUAAGCAUAUCACUAAGCGGAGGAAAAGAAACUAACAAGGAUUCCCCCAGUAACGGCGAGUGAACAGGGAAGAGCCCAGCACCGAAGCCUGUGGCCAUUUGGUUACUAGGCAAUGUGGUGUUUAGGUCGUUCCGCAGAGGUUCUGCUCCACCCUAAGUCCAUCAAUGAGUACGGUAGUAUGGACAUGGCCCAUAGAGGGUGAAAGGCCCGUGGGGGUGGAGAUUCGGCAGGCCAGAACCUCUCUGGGUAGACCUUGGAGUCGGGUUGUUUGUGAAUGCAGCCCAAAGUGGGUGG
RNAcentral lists this ribosomal RNA (328 nucleotides) under Telorchis bonnerensis. RNAcentral's name for it is "eukaryotic LSU rRNA". It matches the Rfam family "Eukaryotic large subunit ribosomal RNA", at positions 1 to 299 of the family's 3401-position model. Lineage: Eukaryota; Metazoa; Platyhelminthes; Trematoda; Plagiorchiida; Telorchiidae. The record is from RNAcentral.